This 1018-nucleotide long non-coding RNA is filed under the name Panax ginseng (ginseng). Its description in RNAcentral is "long non-coding RNA (PGIN_LNC012007)". Lineage: Eukaryota; Viridiplantae; Streptophyta; Magnoliopsida; Apiales; Araliaceae. The record is from RNAcentral.
UUAGGGUUAUCCCUAAUUAGGGCAUUAUUAAUAAUGUUUAAACCUUAUACUAGCAUUUGCAUUCUCAAACUAGGGUUUCAACUUUCGAAUUAGGGUUUCAGAUUCCUGGAACUGAAAUUAGGGUUUCCAGAACCGAUUUUAGGGUUUCAUAUAAAUUGUAAGAAUUUUCUAACUGAACGUUGACGUUCUUAAUAUAAUAUUAGGGUUUGUCACUGAUAUAUCUUAUCUGGUCAACCCUUGACCCUUAACCACAUACUGUACACAUAUAAUACCAUAUACACAGAACAUAACACUUAUUCCCUUAAUCCUGAAUAAUUCACCAAAAGAUUUGUAAAUCCAUAGAAUUCCUUCUCGAAAAUCUCAAAUUCAUUCACUUAUUUUCUGUCUAGGUUUAUUAUUUAACCUUAAUUCAAUAUUUUAAAAUUUUAUAAAUAUUCAAAUUCUUGGGUUGUCACAUUCACCCCUUCUUCUAAAAAUUUUAUCCCCGAAAUUUACCUUACACCUUACAACAUACACCAUUCCUUCUCAUCAUCACAUGCUACCCAAUACAUUCCUCACAAGAGUAAAAAAAAUAAUUAAUAAUUGUGUUGAGGGGUUGUAUAGACUAUUGUCUGUCAUUUUCGCAAAGAUUUUAUGGAAAUUCAUCCGCAAACUGUCAUAACUUACGGACAUAGUGGGUAAUUAGCCUGGUAUGCUCUGUACUUAUUAAGUACUACUGGUCGAAUCUGUUUCUCGUCACUGCCAUAUGCACAAAAUUUUUACAUCAGUCUUAUCGGAUUUCGCACCAAAAUAAUUUGGUUCGAAAAAAUUUUCAAAGAACGCUUAUAAUUUUCAUAAACGUUGGUCUAGCCGAAUCAAAUAGCUUAAACUCAUAUCAAUAGUCAACUUUAAUCGAAUUACGAAUGUGUGUAGCCAAACGCUGUUGGCAAAUUAAAAUUUUAAAAUAGUUUGAAAAUGACGCCAUGAUGCCGUACUGUAUUAACAUUCAGUUUGAGGAUGUCGUCAUCUAGUGAAUUUG